CAGGCUCAGACUGAAACGGUUAAACAUCAUUGCUUGUUAAUACAUUUGUGAAUACUACUGGUGUACAAUGCCUCUAUAUACCUGAGCACACUUGUCGUCUAGGUAUUAAAUGUGUCAUAUGUUUGGUUUUACGGUGUAGCUUUUGGACUGCAGUGUGAGAUGCUGGCAAUAUAACGUUUCAGAGAAGUGUGAAUGCUUGACUACACUCUACUGCAUCGAAGGAAAUGUCAGCGUGAGCACUGCUGUAAUUGGGAAUUCUGAAUCGGGUUCAACUUUUAGUAAAAGCGGAAUGACACUUUUGAGAGAUGUAUUUCAUAACCGGUGACUAAACUAGCGUAAGUUUGGUUUUUGUUUUGUGUUUCUGUUUGCUGUUUGUCAUCUGUAUUUGCUUUAUGUCCUUUUGCCUAUAUGGUGUCUUUGAAUAUAAUAAGAUGAAAAAUAA
Anguilla anguilla (European eel) is the source of this 442-nucleotide long non-coding RNA. RefSeq lists it as uncharacterized. The record is from RefSeq and is a predicted model, not a curated record. NCBI's taxonomy places the organism in Eukaryota, Metazoa, Chordata, Actinopteri, Anguilliformes, Anguillidae. The transcript is spliced from 2 exons.